RNAcentral lists this ribosomal RNA (506 nucleotides) under uncultured bacterium. RNAcentral describes it as "partial 16S ribosomal RNA". It matches the Rfam family "Bacterial small subunit ribosomal RNA", at positions 29 to 523 of the family's 1533-position model. The record is from RNAcentral.
AGUGAACGCUGGCGGUAGGCCUAACACAUGCAAGUCGAACGGCAGCACAGAGGAGCUUGCUCCUUGGGUGGCGAGUGGCGGACGGGUGAGGAAUACAUCGGAAUCUACUCUGUCGUGGGGGAUAACGUAGGGAAACUUACGCUAAUACCGCAUACGACCUACGGGUGAAAGCAGGGGACCUUCGGGCCUUGCGCGAUUGAAUGAGCCGAUGUCGGAUUAGCUAGUUGGCGGGGUAAAGGCCCACCAAGGCGACGGUCCGUAGCUGGUCUGAGAGGAUGAUCGGCCACACUGGAACUGGGACACGGUCCAGACUCCUACGGGAAGCAGCAGUGGGGAAUAUUGGACAAUGGGCGCAAGCCUGAUCCAGCCAUACCGCGUGGGUGAAGAAGGCCUUCGGGUUGUAAAGCCCUUUUGUUGGGAAAGAAAUCCAGCUGGCUAAUACCCGGUUGGGAUGACGGUACCCAAAGAAUGAGCACCGGCUAACUUCGUGCCAGCCGCCGCCGUAA